GUUUCCCCAUCUCCUGCAGUGGGCUCAGGUUGUGGCGAGGUCUGUGCAGAGCCAUUUGCUUCUGUUCCUUUUGUUACACCUUGCACGUGUGUGUUCCCAAUGAAAGUUAGACUUCUCUUAGACAAGUCGCUUUAUUCUAUAUUUCCUGUGGUUAGAGAUCUGGGUAUUGAGGUUGCAAAAGGAACCUAUCUACGUCCAAGUCAAGUUGUUGUAGUUGGAGCUAGUGCUGAUAAUCAAAAUCAAGAAAGAACAAUUGUUGAUAUUAACUUGGUUCCCCUGGAGGAUAAGUUUGAUAACACCACAGCUAUGCUGAUCUAUGAAAGAUUCUGGAAAAAGAAGAUGCCUCUCAAUAGAACGAUGUUUGGGGAUUAUGAUGUGAUGCAUAUUAUGUAUCCAGGGCUGCCUUCUUCUCCACCAUCUGGCAUUGGUUCUGGUAAUGGUCCAACUGGAAGUGCUAUCGAUCAACAAUUCCCUAUUACGGCUGACUUUGGAAACAAGAGCCAGAAAAUGAAUCCCAGAGUCAUUUUUCUCAUUGCUUCAUCAGCACU
RNAcentral lists this unclassified non-coding RNA (548 nucleotides) under Hevea brasiliensis (rubber tree). The record is from RNAcentral. Lineage: Eukaryota; Viridiplantae; Streptophyta; Magnoliopsida; Malpighiales; Euphorbiaceae.